RNAcentral lists this ribosomal RNA (253 nucleotides) under uncultured bacterium. RNAcentral describes it as "partial 16S ribosomal RNA". It matches the Rfam family "Bacterial small subunit ribosomal RNA", at positions 524 to 776 of the family's 1533-position model. The record is from RNAcentral.
UACGGAGGGUGCGAGCGUUAAUCGGAAUUACUGGGCGUAAAGCGCGCGUAGGCGGUUUAUUAAGUUAUAUGUGAAAUCCCUGGGCUCAACCUAGGAACUGCAUAUAAUACUGAUAGGCUAGAGUAGGGUAGAGGUGAGUGGAAUUUCAGGUGUAGCGGUGAAAUGCGUAGAGAUCUGAAGGAACAUCAGUGGCGAAGGCGACUCACUGGGCCCUUACUGACGCUGAGGUGCGAAAGCGUGGGUAGCAAACAGG